RNAcentral lists this ribosomal RNA (436 nucleotides) under uncultured bacterium. Its description in RNAcentral is "bacterial SSU rRNA". It matches the Rfam family "Bacterial small subunit ribosomal RNA", at positions 954 to 1392 of the family's 1533-position model. The record is from RNAcentral.
GCAGAACGCGAAGAACCUUACCAGGGCUUGAAUGCAGUGCGACAGGGGCGGAAACGCCCCCUUCUUCGGACGCAUUGCAAGGUGCUGCAUGGUUGUCGUCAGCCCGUGCCGUGAGGUGUCAGGUUAAGUCCUAUAACGAGCGCAACCCCUGCCGUUAGUUGCCAGCGAGUCAAGUCGGGAACUCUAACGGGACUGCCGGUGCAAACCGUGAGGAAGGUGGGGAUGACGUCAAAUCAUCACGGCCCUUACGUCCUGGGCCACACACGUGCUACAAUGGCAGGUGCAAUGGGCAGCCACUGCGCAAGCAGGCGCGAAUCCACAAAACCUGUCUCAGUUCGGAUCGGGGUCUGCAACUCGACCCCGUGAAGCUGGAAUCGCUAGUAAUCGGAUAUCAGCCAUGAUCCGGUGAAUACGUUCCCGGGUCUUGUACACACCG